AGUUUCUUCUUCUCCUUUUGCCUUUAUGGGGUUUUAGGAAGCCUCAAAUCACCUGCCAAACCAUCCCUUUUCUGCUCUGUUCAUCUCGUUGGUCUUUUUCCAUGAAAAUGGCUCUCCAUCUCUGCAGGUUUCUUCAAGAAAUGGGAAUUUCUGUUCCAGGUUGAUUUCUUCUUCCCUUUUUGUCUUUUUGGGGUUUUGGGAAGCCUCACAUCACCUGCCAAACCACCCUUUUCUGCUCUGUUCAUCUUGUUAAUUGGUCUUUUUCCAUGAAAAUCAUUCUCUAUUUCUGCCGGUUCCUUCAAGAAAUGGCAUAUUUUGUUUCAGGUUGUUAUAUUUCUUCCCUUUUUGUCUUUCUGGGUCUUGAGAAGCCACAUGGAAUUUGUACAUAACAAAAUAGAGAUUUGUAGUUUGUGAUCAGAGAAGCCCUUCUUUGUUAAUUAAUUCAGUUUUCUGGUUAUCUCUUCUGGUUCAAUAUGCUCUAUAACCCAACAAUCUGAAAUGUUGUUAUGAAAUCAGAAAAGUGUUCUUGAUCAAUCUUGUUUACAAAAGGAGAAUUAAAGAAAGAGAAAACUUAUUGAGGUUUGUU
This 586-nucleotide unclassified non-coding RNA is filed under the name Hevea brasiliensis (rubber tree). The record is from RNAcentral. Lineage: Eukaryota; Viridiplantae; Streptophyta; Magnoliopsida; Malpighiales; Euphorbiaceae.